AAAGCCAACCACGUUCUGCAACAACUGCCCUCACUCUUCAAUCCCCUUUCGAUCGCCAGACCCACAUUGAUGUCACCUCUACCCCACAUCUCUCGCCUUCCUUCCCUAACCCUAAUCGACCCUACGAUCAAUGGUCGAUUUAAGAGAUCCUAACGAUGAACAAAAAGCGUUUGGAACAUGAUGCGGAUCAAACUGUAGAAGGAUCCAAUGCAGGUUAGAAGUCAACGUCGUCGGUUUUAUUGAAGUUUCGUAUGGGGUUCACUGCAACGAUAAAUCAGAGAAUGUGGUGCGAUUUGAUUACCAGGGAUUUUGUGUCGUUGCUUGCUGUCCCUCCCAGUUAAAAUCCACAGGAUCUCACCCCUUUGUCUAGGUCUAACAGUUUCUUUUCUAAUCAAGUUGUUCCCUAAAUUAUGUUAAUUCGAUUGCUUAGUUGAAUUCUUUGUUUACAAUCUUGUUCAAUUUCCAUAUCAGAUUGUAGCCAUAAAGUUUGUAAUGUUGAGGGGAAUAUCAUUUAUGUUUAAGAAAAAUGUUGUUGUGACUGGUGAUGUUUUGAAGAAACAAUUGAGUCAACUACUUGUCUUAUAUGGGUUAUCGCAUUGCUAUUCAUUUAUAAGAACCUAUCAGGUAAUGUCUCAAAAGUAAGGUAGGUUGGGUUUGGCUAGCUGACCCACAGUCGUUAUCCGUUUAUGUGGACUUAUAAAUAUGUGAAUAUGGAUAAUUUGUACAAGUAGAAACGAGUCAUCUUGGGUUGGGUUAGGACUUACAAGUUACUGGAUGAUGAUGACAAGAAAGUGACGGACCUAGCAGCUCUGUUAAGUCUAAAAAGACCAAUAUACAUGUGGGAUCUUUCAGAAAAAAGAGUGAAACUCAAGAAGAUGAUGAGGGAGCUAUAAAUUUGAAAGAAGAAAGACAAGUGAAACAAAAAGUUACCCAUGAUGAAUAUGAUGGUUCUAAGAAUGAAGAAGAAUAACUGGAUGACCAAACACAAGAGGAUCACAUAGAUGCCCUCCUUGACUAGAUGCUUUAUCUAGGCUAGUCGAUUGGAGGUAGAUUAGGGUUACAGGUGUGUUGCUCAGGUUUGAUUUGAUGAAGCCGCUGUUAUUUUAUUCGAUUGAUGUUUUGAAUACACAAGAUUUGUUUCAUUUAUUUAAACCUAACGUUUUAAACCCUAAUUGGAUGUUUUGUUUCGU
Molecule: long non-coding RNA, 1190 nt
Filed under: Helianthus annuus (common sunflower)
Lineage: Eukaryota; Viridiplantae; Streptophyta; Magnoliopsida; Asterales; Asteraceae
Description: hypothetical non coding rna
Source: RNAcentral